CGCUAUCACUCCUACGGGAGGCAGCAGUCGGGAAUAUUGGACAAUGGGCGAAAGCCUGAUCCAGCAAUACCGCGUGUGUGAAGAAGGCCUGCGGGUUGUAAAGCACUUUCAGUUGGGAAGAUAAUGACGUUACCAACAGAAGAAGCACCGGCUAACUCCGUGCCAGCAGCCGCGGUAAUACGGAGGGUGCAAGCGUUAAUCGGAAUUACUGGGCGUAAAGCGCACGUAGGCGGUUUACUAAGUCGGAUGUGAAAUCCCCGGGCUCAACCUGGGAACUGCACCCGAUACUGGUAGACUAGAAUUUGGGAGAGGUGAGUGGAAUUUCCGGUGUAGCGGUGAAAUGCAUAGAGAUCGGAAGGAACACCAGUGGCGAAGGCGACUCACUGGACCAAAUUGACGCUGAGGUGCGAAAGCGUGGGUAGCAAACAGGAUUAGAUACCCUGGUAG
This 447-nucleotide ribosomal RNA is filed under the name uncultured bacterium. RNAcentral's name for it is "bacterial SSU rRNA". It matches the Rfam family "Bacterial small subunit ribosomal RNA", at positions 328 to 793 of the family's 1533-position model. The record is from RNAcentral.